Molecule: ribosomal RNA, 503 nt
Filed under: uncultured bacterium
Lineage: Bacteria
Description: partial 16S ribosomal RNA
Rfam family: Bacterial small subunit ribosomal RNA
Source: RNAcentral
AACGAACGCUGGCGGCGUGCCUAAUACAUGCAAGUCGAACGAGAAAGGGGCUUCGGCUCCGAGUAAAGUGGCGCACGGGUGAGUAACACGUGGGUAACCUGCCUCUAAGAUUGGGAUAACUCGUCGAAAGAUGAGCUAAUACCGAAUAAGACCACAGUUCCCGCGGGAACAGGGGUCAAAGGUAGCCUCUGCUUGCAAGCUAUCACUUAGAGAUGAGCCUGCGCACCAUUAGCUAGUUGGUAGGGUAACGGCCUACCAAGGCAAAGAUGGUUAGCUGGUCUGAGAGGAUGAUCAGCCACACUGGAACUGAGACACGGUCCAGACUCCUACGGGAGGCAGCAGUGGGGAAUAUUGCGCAAUGGGCGAAAGCUUGACGCAGCAACGCCGCGUGAGUGAUGAAGGCCUUCGGGUCGUAAAGCUCUGUCGGGAGGAACGAAUGCUCCUGAGGUUAACAGCCUCGGGAGGUGACGGUACCUUCAAAGGAAGCACCGGCUAACUCUGUG